This is an RNA transcript of Crotalus tigris (Tiger rattlesnake), 5050 nucleotides long. It is a transcript of the gene named pleckstrin homology like domain family A member 1, with no coding region annotated. The transcript is spliced from 2 exons. The record is from RefSeq and is a predicted model, not a curated record. Lineage: Eukaryota; Metazoa; Chordata; Lepidosauria; Squamata; Viperidae.
UGGUGUGUCCGCGAGCAUCGGCAGAGCAGCGGGGUUGGCUUCCCAACACGCGGCCUCCGCAGGCUGCGUGUUCCAGAGGGGAAGCCAAGACGCCAGCCUGCCGCCGUCAGUGACAGCUCAAAAGUGGUCUUUCUCCUGAGGGGCCUCCUGAGUUCCAGGAGUGAGAACGGCUCGGCUGUCACCGGAGUAAGGCUUUGUUCUCUGGCGCUGUUGCGACCGGGAACCUCUGCAGGCUUCCGAGGGGAGAAAAGAGGAAAGCGAUCCACGAGCUUCCGCCCGCCCCUAAAGGCGUGCAGGCGAGGACGAAACGGCCGGGCUUUCCUCGACCGGCCUCUUCGGCAGGCCCCGCCCCGCCUUUCCUUCGCCCCGCCCCCCGAAAACCUGGUGUAGCUGAAAUGAAAAAGCCGCUUUCAGAAACAACGGGAGGGGGACGGAGGGCGCUUCCUCCAGCGCUUCUGGGGAAAGACCGGCGGGAAGACCAGAAGUCGCGCGGUUAAACCUGGCCUUCGUUCGCCGGAAGGCGAAGCCUUUCCGGCGCUUCCCGGGAAAUCCCGCUUGUCCGUGAGCAGCUUCUCUCUCGCGCGCCUUCUUUUCACUCCUUUCCGAAGUUUUUGGCAGCGGCGGGAGGAUGCUGGAGAGCGGCGGCAAGCCGGUGAAGGAGGGCGUGCUGGAGAAACGCAGCGAUGGCUUGCUGCAGCUCUGGAAGAAGAAGCGUUGCAUCCUCACCGAGGAAGGGCUUCUGCUUAUCCCGCCCAAGCAGGAGCCGGCGGCGGCGGCUUCUUCUCCUGCCAACGGAGAGACGGCGGUCGCCGCCGCCAAGAUCAAGCAGUUACCCUUCUCCACCAUGAAGACAGUGGACUGCGUAGAACGGAAGGGCAAGUACAUGUAUUUCACAGUGGUGAUGGCCGAGGGGAAGGAGAUCGACUUUCGGUGCCCACAGGAUCAAGGCUGGAACGCCGAGAUCACGCUGCAACUCGUGCAAUACAAAAACCGGCAGGCCAUCCUGGCGGUCAAGUCGACCCGGCAGAAGCAGCAGCACCUCGUCCAGCAACUCGGGCCCCGCCUCCGGAGCGCCUCCAACUCCGCCUAGACGGGCACCCCCGACAGGUACUCGCUUUGCCCGCUUCCCGCCUUGCGCCCGCGGUCGCCGGACUUGUUCUCGGCUGCGUAGGGCGUAGGAGGGUUCUUCCCCCUCCCCUCAAGCUUUCCCAGCGUCGGAGGGAGCUCCUCAGAAAAUAAACAAGCGAAGCUGCGUGGCAGCUUGAACCCUCUUUUGUUCUGCAGAAGCGCCCACCUUUGCUAUGCGGUUCCUGCUUUGGGGAAGGGGAGAACCCACGCACCAGAAUCAAUUUUACUGUGAUCUUCACCCGUAGGGGCUUUCUUACAUAUAUUCAGUACAUAUGCAGAGGCCCUGCAUGGACUUUAUUAUCUUUUCCUACAAGCCCUGUUUAACCUGGUAUGCUGCAGAAGUGUGGAGAUCAAAUUUAACAGGCGCUUCUGGAAGUAAGAGGAACAGUGAUCAAAGGCUGGCAAAGUAAAGGACAACUACAAGAACAUCAGUUCAGCCCCUGGAUUUUGUCCAGUUUUGACACCAUCUGUGGGUGCUUUAGAGAAGUACUUCAGCUGUUCUGGGUUUUGGCUACUGCUUAAACUUGGGAAAAGCAUAUUUGACCUCAAAGGACAUAUGUCGCACUGUCAUUUUUAAAAUUCCACUAUGUUUUAUUUGUAUGUAUAUUUAUUAGUGGGAAUUUUAAGUUUUCAGGUUACUUCUGAAUGUAGAUCUUCUGAGAGACAAUGAAGUGCAGAAAAUACUUGCUUUGGUGAGUUGUGUAUGCUGCUGUAGAUAGAGGAAGAAACUGAAGCAAGAAGAAAACAGAAAGAUGAAGAAUUUACCAGGACACAAACUCUUCAUAUAGUUUUCACACACUGCUUUGCAACAGUUUUCAUCUCAAAAAGUGGAAGGCUGUUAUGAAAUGAAUGUAUGAAAUGUAUCUUGAUAUGUUGAAGUAUUGUACCAACAUUCUAAAUAAUGAGAACAUCCGCUCCAAAGAAAGCAAUGGCUUUAAAUUAAAAUUCUGAAUUUUUUGUUUAUUCAACAGUCAUUUGAUUUGUGGUAUUAUACAUUGUAUUCAGCAGUAAUCAGUUAUACCAGUUUUCAUAUUUUUACUUCACAAGCAGAAAAUCUUAGUUGACAGAAAAAUAAUUAUAAAAAAGUUAUGUUUUUUUAUAUAUGAGAUUUGUUGGAAGAAGCAUACUAAAGAUAAUUUAUUGCACUUCUUUAUUUAAAUUUGUCCCUAGCCUAUAAUAGUUCUUACUGUGGUUUUACUUUACUCCUUAUCACAUUAUUUUAUAUAAAAUGCCUUAAAGUACUUAAUUGGAUACUUUUACCAAUAUUUCCUAUCAUUUUGGUUUUUUGGGGUCAUGUCCUACACAAUAUUUUUCAUAAUUCCUAUAAUCAAAAUUAUUUCUUCUUAGAACAGUGAUUUAAAUAAGUACAUACAUAAUAAUGUCCAAUUGAAUAUUUAAACUAUGUUAACAUUUAUUUUUUGUCAGCCUAAUCAACUAUUUUGGUCUUCUUGUGUUAUUUGGAAUCUUAAUAUAACAGAAGAGUUCUAAAACCCCUUGACCUAUUGAUUUAAAAUAUAUUUCCUAAUUAUUAAUUUGAUACGGUAAUAUAUACUAUGCUUUUCAGGCUGGAUAUUCUGUUUUGAGGGAUUUGUAAUCUUCCAAACCUAGUUUUUCAUGAAAUAAAAUUCAUUAUGUUCUAAUUAAAAUCAAAUUAGACACAGCACAGUGCACCUUGAAGUAUUAAACAUUUGUAUGCAGUUCUAUGCAUUCUUAUCCUGAUAAAUUAUGGAAGGUUUCUGUAAGGCUUCAGUUCUUAUUCUGACUCUACAGAAAUGACUAAGCAUCAGCUUAGCUCCCAUACUUCUCCAAUUGAGAUCUGAACAAAUGGGCAAUUUAAGAAGCCCAGUUGUACAAAAAUACCAGGUACAAGAACUGCAACUAUAGCCAUAUAGGUUCAGUCUUAUAUUUGGGGCAAAUGUGACCAAAUUAUGAUAAGUGGGCUAUCAUAAGUAAAUAUUUCAACACUUAUAUUUAAGAUUUGAAAUAAACAUAGAUGGGAAGAACAACAGUAUUUCUGGCUUCCUUCUGUCUUAUCAAUCAAAUAAUAUAUUUUACAUCCCUGAGCAGUUUCAUGUUCUAGAAGGAGGUUUUGGACUAAAGCAUUAAAUGAUAUAUUGAAUGCAUUGUGAUUGGUUCAAACACUUGCACUUCAAUAUUAAACUAUACAAAAAAAAGAGUUUAUCUCCAACUUCUUAGUUUAUUACAAUCCAACAGAAAAACAAGUAAUAUUUGAUAAUAGAGGAUAUUAACUGAAAUGACAGCAACACACCAUGCGCAAUGCUCAGCAAAUCUGCAGUGCUUUAUUUUUCAGAUUGAAAUGACCACAGGAUUAUGAAAAAUGAUUCUUAGUUUUCAUAAUAGGAAUCUAGUCUAGGUGAUAUCUUUGAACUGAUUCUAUCAGAAGUCAUUACUUAGUUGUUUUAUAAUCAUAGCACCUGGAGAUAAAAGGAGCAAUGGAACUUAAAAAGCAAUUCAGUGAUUGAGAAGAAUGUACCAUCAUUGUGUAUGUCUGUGUGUCUAUGUUUCUGUAUGUCUAAAAUAUUAUAUUUUAUAAAACUCAAAAAGGUAUAGCCAUGACAGAACCUGCCCAGUUGCUGUCUGAUGAAGUGAUGGUCAUUAAGCGAAGCAUCCUGUUUCCUGUUUUGGGGGUACUUGUUGCUUUUUUUUAAUCUAAAGGGAUUCCAAGAAUAAAGUACAUAAAAUAGUUUUCUUUACAUCCUCCAACAUAGGAUACUUCAUUAUCGGUUUUGUUCAAAAGUACAAAAGUACAUAAAAUAGUUUUCUUUACAUCCUCCAACAUAGGAUACUUCAUUGUCGGUUUUGUUCAAAAGUACAAUAGGUUUUUUUAAAAAAGAGGCCUCUCCUUGAUGUUGCAAUUGUGACACAGAAAAUUUAUUUGCAAUCCUAUAACACUUUGAAAACAGUAGAAGUUGCCUCUAGGCUCUACAAACUUUGAAAAUGUUUUAUAAGAAGUACUUUGGAUCUUGUAUGAGCAUUUUCUGCUGUUCAUUAAAGUCAUUGUCUCUUUUCAUGCUAUUAUGCUCAUGCUGAUUUAACAGUUGUGUUAAUAAGUUGACUCCUUAAAGCAGAAGCAUCUUUUUUCAGUCUUAUAUGGAUGUCUAAAAAGAUGUGGCAUUAUGAGCAGAGAAGUACUGAAAGCAUGCACAGCCCUUUCAAACAUGUAUAGAAUUGCAUAUUUAAGCUAAAAUCUCUUGCUAUGAAGAAAUAUUUUAUAUUUCAUGCAUCCCCAACCAGAUGGCUCACAGAUUUGUCAGAAGAAUAUGACUAUGAGAAUUUUAAUAGCUGGGCUCUAAAACAACUGGAAAGUAAACAUACAACUUUAGGGAAAAGCAAUUAUAUUUAUGUAUCUGGGAGGUAGCAAUAGUACUUAGACUUAUAUGGCACUUCAUAGUGCUUUACAGCCUCCUGAUCCAGAAUUUAGAAAGGAAGUUUCAUGAAUUAGUAAUAGCAGAUGGUUUGCAUACAUAUAUUUAGAUAUUUUUACCCUUUCUAUAUGGUGCUUACCUGAGGUACAGUGACACUCUCUAUAUAAUAUUCUAGAGAAAAUAGCCUUUAUACUGAGGUUGCAAAGAAAUGGUAGGGUAAAUAAUAAUAUUCUGUGUCAUAUAUUUGCUUUUCAAGAAUACAUAUGAUGUGUUAUUUUAAAUUUCUGGCACAAAGAAUAACUCUUCUAUAUUAUAUUCUGAAAAAAAGUCUGUUAAUUAAAAAAAUAACAGCUGCAAACACUAGCUUUUGCGGAUUAGUUACAAUGAUGUGAUUUCAGGCAUUGUGAACUGAAACAAUGUAGCAAACCAAUGUAUGUAAAUAAGGUUCAAACCAAUGUAUACAGUUCGAAGUGUGGAGAAAUGUGAUUUAUUUUUUAACAUGCAUUCCAUUUCAAAUAAAGAAACACCUAUUGGAA